RNAcentral lists this ribosomal RNA (111 nucleotides) under Nitrospirae bacterium CG2_30_53_67. The record is from RNAcentral. Lineage: Bacteria; Pseudomonadati; Nitrospirota. RNAcentral also lists the same sequence under 5 other names.
CUCGGUGGCUAUGGCGGAGGGGACCCACCCGAUCCCAUCUCGAACUCGGAAGUUAAGCCCUCCUGCGCCGAUGGUACUGCAAAUUUGUGGGAGAGUAGGGCGUUGCCGGGG